UGGGGAAUAUUGCACAAUGGGCGCAAGCCUGAUGCAGCCAUGCCGCGUGUGUGAAGAUGUCCUUCGGGUUGUAAAGCACUUUCAGCGGGGAGGAAGGCGUUAAGGUUAAUAACCUUGGCGAUUGACGUUACCCGCAGCACAAGCACCGGCUAACUCCGUGCCAGCAGCCGCGGUAAUACGGAGGGUGCAAGCGUUAUUCGGAAUUACUGGGCGUAAAGCGCACGCAGGCGGUUGCUGGAGUCAGAUGUGAAAUCCCCGGGCUUAACCCGGGAAUUGCAUCUGAUACUGGUCAGCUAGAGUCUUGUAGAGGGGGGUAGAAUUCCAUGGGUAGCGGUGAAAUGCGUAGAGAUGUGGAGGAAUACCGGUGGCGAAGGCGGCCCCCUGGAAAAAGAAUGAAGCUCAGGUGCGAAAGCGUGGGGAGCAAACAGG
Molecule: ribosomal RNA, 429 nt
Filed under: Chloroflexota bacterium
Lineage: Bacteria; Bacillati; Chloroflexota
Description: Chloroflexi bacterium partial 16S ribosomal RNA
Rfam family: Bacterial small subunit ribosomal RNA
Source: RNAcentral